RNAcentral lists this ribosomal RNA (374 nucleotides) under uncultured bacterium. RNAcentral describes it as "bacterial SSU rRNA". It matches the Rfam family "Bacterial small subunit ribosomal RNA", at positions 28 to 404 of the family's 1533-position model. The record is from RNAcentral.
GACGAACGCUGGCGGCGUGCUUAACACAUGCAGGUCGAGCGGUAAGGCCCUUUCGGGGGUACACGAGCGGCGAACGGGUGAGUAACACGUGGGUGACCUGCCUUUAGCUCUGGGAUAAGCCUGGGAAACUGGGUCUAAUACCGGAUAUGACUCCGCGGUGCAUGCUGUGGGGUGAAAGCCUUGUGCGGCUGGAGAUGGGCCCGCGGCCUAUCAGCUUGUUGGUGGGGUGAUGGCCUACCAAGGCGACGACGGGUAGCCGGCCUGAGAGGGCGACCGGCCACACUGGGACUGAGACACGGCCCAGACUCCUACGGGAGGCAGCAGUGGGGAAUCUUGCGCAAUGGGCGAAAGCCUGACGCAGCGACGCCGCGUGA